Molecule: ribosomal RNA, 253 nt
Filed under: uncultured bacterium
Lineage: Bacteria
Description: partial 16S ribosomal RNA
Rfam family: Bacterial small subunit ribosomal RNA
Source: RNAcentral
UACGAAGGGGGCUAGCGUUGCUCGGAAUUACUGGGCGUAAAGCGCACGUAGGCGGCUUUCUAAGUCGGGGGUGAAAUCCUGGAGCUCAACUCCAGAACUGCCUUCGAUACUGGAGAGCUCGAGUCCGGGAGAGGUGAGUGGAACUGCGAGUGUAGAGGUGAAAUUCGUAGAUAUUCGCAAGAACACCAGUGGCGAAGGCGGCUCACUGGCCCGGUACUGACGCUGAGGUGCGAAAGCCAGGGGAGCAAACGGG